This is a small RNA of Xanthomonas oryzae pv. oryzae, 77 nucleotides long. It matches the Rfam family "Xanthomonas sRNA sX9". Lineage: Bacteria; Pseudomonadati; Pseudomonadota; Gammaproteobacteria; Lysobacterales; Lysobacteraceae. The record is from Rfam.
AGGUACAACGCGUCCACUGCGGUUGUGAGCGCGCCGUCCGCGCCCACCUGACAGCUGCUCGCGGCGUGUUGUUAGAA